RNAcentral lists this ribosomal RNA (422 nucleotides) under uncultured eukaryote. RNAcentral's name for it is "bacterial SSU rRNA". It matches the Rfam family "Eukaryotic small subunit ribosomal RNA", at positions 592 to 1018 of the family's 1831-position model. The record is from RNAcentral.
CAAUAGCGUAUAUUAAAGUUAGUUGCAGUUAAAAAAGACUCGUAGUUGGAUCUCAGGAGGACUUCAGUUGGUCGGCCUAACUGGUCAGAACCGUCUGUCUCUUCCUUGUUUCUGAAUCCCGCCCGGAGUUCAUUCUUCGGGUGUGGACUUCAGAUCGUUUACCUUGAAAAAAUUAGAGUGUUCAAAGCGGGCGUUUGCUUGAAUAUAUUAGCAUGGAAUAAUGGAAUAGGACCCUGGUCCUAUUUUGUGGUUUUGAGGACUAGAGUAAUGAUUAAUAGGGAUAGUUGGGGGGCAUUCAUAUUUAAUUGUCAGAGGUGAAAUUCUUGGAUUUAUGAAAGAUGAACUUCUGCGAAAGCAUUUGCCAAGGAUGUUUUCAUUAAUCAAGUAACGAAAUUAGGGGAUCGAAGACGAUUAGAUACCAU